This is an RNA transcript of Cydia fagiglandana, 1921 nucleotides long. It is a transcript of the gene named PDZ and LIM domain protein 3, with no coding region annotated. The transcript has 12 exons. NCBI's taxonomy places the organism in Eukaryota, Metazoa, Arthropoda, Insecta, Lepidoptera, Tortricidae. The record is from RefSeq and is a predicted model, not a curated record.
CGCUCGACGCACAAAAUAGACGAGUAUAUUGUCGAAUUAUCCGAUAAAAAUCACUGCACGAGCGACGCUGCGCUCAGAACAACCUAGGCUUGGAAGGGUGUACUGCGAAAUGCCGAUGUACCAGAGACCUCCCUUCUGGCGGGUGCCCCAUCAGCGACCGGAUCCCGAUGACUGCAGGGAUUUUGGACAACGGAGACGGGUUCCCGUAAAUCGAACUAGGUCGAUCGAGGCAGGGUUGCAGCGGGCGGGGCGCGCUAAUUUUGCCACAACACCGCGCUUAGCCGUCGAGAGCGCACCGCGUGCAAUCGUGCAAGCCAUGGGGCGGCUGCAUACGUUCGUGGUGACCUUACGGAGGGAGCACAGGGACACCAACUGGGGCCUCCGGCUGGUCGGCGGCGCGGACCUGGCGACGCCGCUCAUUGUCACAAGGGUGACCCCAGGCACGCCGGCCGGCAAGGAUCUCCUGCGCGGAGACAUCAUCGCGAAGAUCGAUGACUACGACGCCCGCGACCUCCGUCACGAGGAUGCGCAGAACCUGUUCAAGAAUGCGCAGAACCACAUCAAACUUGUAGUGCAGAGGGGUGGCUCCAGUUCGCAUCUUUACUCACUACCACCGCGGGCUACGGGCGGCUAUGUAGGCAGAGUCCCUACGCCCACCUUCUAUCACGAGUUCGCUGAGGACGUGGACCGCGAUCAGCCACGCAGCUCGUCCUCUCUAGCGCCGCGGUCGCCCGUCUUCACUGCUAACUCGCCAUACAGAACUCCAAGCCCGAUGCCACCGACGGCGUUCCGACAGGAGUCGCUUCCCCGCACCCCUGUACCUCAGCAGGGCUAUGGAGCCCAAGGCUAUGGCCAGCAGACCUACCCGCCGCAGAUCGAGGGCGAGUACCGCACGGUGAUGCUGUCCCCUACAUACUCGUCACGGACAGACGAUACGCUGGAUGAAUCGUUGAACAACCAGCCCUACCGCACGACACCCCUCGUCCUGCCCGGCGCCAAGGUCCGCCGGGAGCCCGGCCCCACGGAGUCCUACCUGCGCCACCACCCCAACCCCUCCAUGCGGGCGCCGCCGAGCCACGAUUACCGCGACACGCUUAUGAGGCAAAAGGUGGCUGAAUCGGUGGUGCAGCGAGUGAUCGGUGACGAGGGCAAUAAGGUUGUUCACAAGCAAUUCAACUCCCCGAUCAAUCUAUAUUCAGACCAAAACAUCGCCCACUCCAUUAGGCAACAGUCCUCGCCCUUGCCCGCUAACGGCCAUUACGGACGGCCACACAUGGUCAAGAGGCAAGUGUUUUACUAGACACGGCUCGACGCCAUCUCUCAUGACGCAUUAAUGCUUAUUUUAUUUUUAUUUUGCUAUCUUUCGUCUUGCGAAACUCGUUUUUCGAUCUCCGUUCUGGCGACGACCGCCUGUCGCCACCGCCGGUCCUAGCGACCUUUCAUCCACACGUUCACGCGACAAACAUUGUGUGCCAUCGUGUGGGUGUAGCUAUAAUUAUUUAUUUAGCUUAUAAGUCAACAUUGUCAGUCGUUUUCUAAAUGAUCGAUGUCAGUAUUUUUAUCGACCUCUCCUUCCUCAAAAACAAACACGACUAAACACCUCGGUACGUCACUAACCGCUUCCGCGCCCUUCUAACGGUCCCCGGGUCUAAUUCUAAUGUUUCUGUCUAUUUUGCGCCCGCUAACCACUAAACACUAACGCCCCGCCCGCCGCCCCGCCCGCCCGCAGCCACAAGCCGACGCUGCUGUACGACCCGGCCAAGUCGGAGACCUUCAAGAUGCUGCAGGAGGACGGGCUCGGCGACGUCGUGCAGGAGGUGCCCCAGCCUGCCCAGUGCAAGGUCUUCACUGCGCCGCCCAACAAGAGGCCCGCGCCCACUCCGAAACCAGCGAAAAAGCCCGAGCAGAUGAACGGCCACGU